This 346-nucleotide unclassified non-coding RNA is filed under the name Hevea brasiliensis (rubber tree). Lineage: Eukaryota; Viridiplantae; Streptophyta; Magnoliopsida; Malpighiales; Euphorbiaceae. The record is from RNAcentral.
GCAUCACAGCGGAGAUGAAAGGUUUCAGAAAAGGUUUCAAAUAUAUCUCGCAAAUGUUUGGUGGGUAUUGUUCAUUCCUCUUUUUUCAUGAAUUAUUUUAUUUCAAACCUAUUUCUCCAAGUUUGUAACAUUUUCAUAUUUUGCAGAUGAGAAAGAACCAGAAAUACAAAUUGGGUAUCCUACAGAUGUAAAGCAUGUUGCUCAUAUUGGAUUUGAUGGUCCGUCUGCCUCUAAACCAAGCUGGAUGAAUGAGUUUGAAUCUUCUCCACAAAUCUCAAAUGGGACUGCAAAUUGUAUGGAAGAACUUAAGAACCUUUCAAUACUUCCACCCUCACCAGAUAUAAGC